CAGAGGGUGCAAGCGUUGUUCGGAAUUACUGGGCGUAAAGCGCGCGCAGGCGGAUCCUGCAAGUCAGAAGUGAAAUCUCACUGCUCAACGGUGAGGCUGCUUUUGAUACUGCGGAUCUGGAGACCGGUAGAGGCUGGUAGAAUUGCAGGUGUAGCGGUGGAAUGCGUAGAGAUCUGCAAGAAUACCCGUGGCGAAGGCGGCCAGCUGGGCCGGUUCUGACGCUGAGGCGCGAAAGCGGUGGGGAGCAAACAGGAUUAGACUACCCUGGUAGUCCACGCCGUAAACGAGUGGGCACUAGGUGCUGGGGGGAGCGACCCCGUCAGUGCCGCAGCUAACGCGAUAAGUGCCCCGCCUGGGGAGUACGGCCGCAAGGCUG
This 376-nucleotide ribosomal RNA is filed under the name uncultured organism. Its description in RNAcentral is "bacterial SSU rRNA". It matches the Rfam family "Bacterial small subunit ribosomal RNA", at positions 526 to 896 of the family's 1533-position model. The record is from RNAcentral.